This 1343-nucleotide ribosomal RNA is filed under the name uncultured bacterium. RNAcentral describes it as "16S ribosomal RNA". It matches the Rfam family "Bacterial small subunit ribosomal RNA", at positions 28 to 1378 of the family's 1533-position model. The record is from RNAcentral.
GACGAACGCUGGCGGCGUGCUUAACACAUGCAAGUCGAACGGAAAGGCCCUGCUUUUGUGGGGUGCUCGAGUGGCGAACGGGUGAGUAACACGUGAGUAACCUGCCCUUGACUUCGGGAUAACUUCAGGAAACUGGGGCUAAUACCGGAUAGGAGCUCCUGCUGCAUGGUGGGGGUUGGAAAGUUUCGGCGGUUGGGGAUGGACUCGCGGCUUAUCAGCUUGUUGGUGGGGUAGUGGCUUACCAAGGCUUUGACGGGUAGCCGGCCUGAGAGGGUGACCGGCCACAUUGGGACUGAGAUACGGCCCAGACUCCUACGGGAGGCAGCAGUGGGGAAUAUUGCACAAUGGGCGGAAGCCUGAUGCAGCAACGCCGCGUGCGGGAUGACGGCCUUCGGGUUGUAAACCGCUUUCGCCUGUGACGAAGCGUGAGUGACGGUAAUGGGUAAAGAAGCACCGGCUAACUACGUGCCAGCAGCCGCGGUGAUACGUAGGGUGCGAGCGUUGUCCGGAUUUAUUGGGCGUAAAGGGCUCGUAGGUGGUUGAUCGCGUCGGAGGUGUAAUCUUGGGGCUUAACCCUGAGCGUGCUUUCGAUACGGGUUGACUUGAGGAAGGUAGGGGAGAAUGGAAUUCCUGGUGGAGCGGUGGAAUGCGCAGAUAUCAGGAGGAACACCAGUGGCGAAGGCGGUUCUCUGGGCCUUUCCUGACGCUGAGGAGCGAAAGCGUGGGGAGCGAACAGGCUUAGAUACCCUGGUAGUCCACGCUGUAAACGGUGGGUACUAGGUGUGGGGUCCAUUCCACGGGUUCCGUGCCGUAGCUAACGCUUUAAGUACCCCGCCUGGGGAGUACGGCCGCAAGGCUAAAACUCAAAGGAAUUGACGGGGCCCCGCACAAGCGGCGGAGCAUGCGGAUUAAUUCGAUGCAACGCGUAGAACCUUACCUGGGUUUGACAUGGAUCGGGAGUGCUCAGAGAUGGGUGUGCCUCUUUUGGGGUCGGUUCACAGGUGGUGCAUGCCUGUCGUCAGCUCGUGUCGUGAGAUGUUGGGUUAAGUCCCGCAACGAGCGCAACCCUUGUUCACUGUUGCCAGCACGUUAUGGUGGGGACUCAGUGGAGACCGCCGGGGUCAACUCGGAGGAAGGUGGGGAUGACGUCAAGUCCUCAUGCCCCUUAUGUCCAGGGCUUCACGCAUGCUACAAUGGCUGGUACAGAGAGUGGCGAGCCUGUGAGGGUGAGCGAAUCUCGGAAAGCCGGUCUCAGUUCGGAUUGGGGUCUGCAACUCGACCUCAUGAAGUCGGAGUCGCUAGUAAUCGCAGAUCAGCAACGCUGCGGUGAAUACGUUCCCGGG